RNAcentral lists this ribosomal RNA (482 nucleotides) under uncultured bacterium. RNAcentral describes it as "partial 16S ribosomal RNA". It matches the Rfam family "Bacterial small subunit ribosomal RNA", at positions 30 to 507 of the family's 1533-position model. The record is from RNAcentral.
AUUGAACGCUGGCGGCAUGUUUUACACAUGCAAGUCGAACGGUAACAGCACUUCGGUGGCUGACGAGUGGCGAACGGGUGAGUAAUACAUCGGAACGUGCCUAGUAGUGGGGGAUAACUACUCGAAAGAGUAGCUAAUACCGCAUGAGAUCUAAGGAUGAAAGCAGGGGACCUUCGGGCCUUGCGCUACUAGAGCGGCUGAUGGCAGAUUAGGUAGUUGGUGGGAUAAAAGCUUACCAAGCCGACGAUCUGUAGCUGGUCUGAGAGGACGACCAGCCACACUGGGACUGAGACACGGCCCAGACUCCUACGGGAGGCAGCAGUGGGGAAUUUUGGACAAUGGGCGCAAGCCUGAUCCAGCAAUGCCGCGUGCAGGACGAAGGCCUUCGGGUUGUAAACUGCUUUUGUACGGAACGAAAAGCCCUCUUCUAAUACAGGAGGGUCAUGACGGUACCGUAAGAAUAAGCACCGGCUAACUACGUG